This 447-nucleotide ribosomal RNA is filed under the name uncultured bacterium. RNAcentral's name for it is "bacterial SSU rRNA". It matches the Rfam family "Bacterial small subunit ribosomal RNA", at positions 330 to 793 of the family's 1533-position model. The record is from RNAcentral.
UCCAGACUCCUAGGGAGGCAGCAGUGGGGAAUAUUGCACAAUGGGGGAAACCCUGACGCAGCAACGCCGCGUGAGUGAGGAAGUAUUUCGGUAUGUAAAGCUCUAUCAGCAGGGAAUAGAAAAGAAGGUACCUGAAAAAGAAGCCCCGGCUAACUACGUGCCAGCAGCCGCGGUAAUACGUAGGGGGCAAGCGUUAUCCGGAUUUACUGGGUGUAAAGGGAGCGUAGACGGCGAUGCAAGCCAGAUGUGAAAGCCCGGGGCUCAACCCCGGGACUGCAUUUGGAACUGUGUGGCUGGAGUGUCGGAGAGGCAGGCGGAAUUCCUAGUGUAGCGGUGAAAUGCGUAGAUAUUAGGAGGAACACCAGUGGCGAAGGCGGCCUGCUGGACGAUGACUGACGUUGAGGCUCGAAAGCGUGGGGAGCAAACAGGAUUAGAUACCCGUGUACG